This is a long non-coding RNA of Arvicola amphibius (Eurasian water vole), 525 nucleotides long. RefSeq lists it as uncharacterized. The transcript is spliced from 3 exons. NCBI's taxonomy places the organism in Eukaryota, Metazoa, Chordata, Mammalia, Rodentia, Cricetidae. The record is from RefSeq and is a predicted model, not a curated record.
CAGCAGUCCAGCACCCUAAGUGACGCGUGCACUGAGAGGCCGAGCACAGAGCUCCCAGCUCUGUGAGUGGAGAGUCUGGGCAGCCGGGAAAUGAACAAGCGGCCUCCUACCACAGCUCUUUCCCUGGAAUCUGGAAUUUGCUUAGGGCAUCGUGACUGGCCGGCAACCCUGAGGGACCUGCCUGUCUCCACCCAUCCAGCACUGGGAUUACAGAUGCACGCCAUACCAGCAAGAGUGUUACGUGUGUUUGGGGGGUUGAACUGGAGCCCUCAUGCUCACCCAGCAUGAAGAAGACAUUGACUUCAGGCCCUCACAUCUCCACCGUCCAGCAAGAGCAGCCUUCUUCCUUUCCCUGCUACCAAAUGAGAAGAUGACGUUCUGGGCCUUUCUUUAAGUCUCACUGAUGAGGAAAAGCUAGGAUUCUCAAAAUUACUUAAAUGUAAAAUGCUGUAUUUUAUCCAUGUAUUAACUACCAUCUAAGUUCAGGUUUUUAGACAUCCAGUCUUCCAUGAAGCAGUUUUUGCA